GGCAAUAGAGAAAAGCGGCGGAGACUGGUAACAAAACAUACAGUAAGUCGACCUAGGACUUCAUUACCGAGUCCGGAGCCGAUUCCCUUAAAGAAACUCUCUAAGCGAACUUCUCCCCAUCAAUCAGAGUCUAGAACAGCGUCCAUGCCUGGUGAAGAGACAAGGGAAAAUAUGAAAACGGUAGGGGAACAGACAAACCUUGACCUAUCUAGUGAUAGUGAUACAUUGAACGAUUUGAAUCCUGGUAUUAGGCAAACUAGUUCCCCAAAAGGUGGUCAAAACAACGAACAAAAUGAAGCAAGCAGGUUAGGUAAUGGUGGCGAUGUUGUAGAACCGAAGUUACCCGGUGGAAGUGUGGGAAAGAAAGUAAAGCAGCUGAAAGCGUCUCGUAGAGUAAUUGUAAUAAGCCCAGAAGAUAUCCAUCAUGACAAGGGCGUGAGAAAGACCAUAAGAGCGGAGACACCACAAUCCUCGAAAGGGCAGGUUAAAU
Molecule: long non-coding RNA, 490 nt
Filed under: Physcomitrium patens
Lineage: Eukaryota; Viridiplantae; Streptophyta; Bryopsida; Funariales; Funariaceae
Description: long non-coding RNA (PPAT_LNC013689)
Source: RNAcentral